This 465-nucleotide unclassified non-coding RNA is filed under the name Hevea brasiliensis (rubber tree). The record is from RNAcentral. Lineage: Eukaryota; Viridiplantae; Streptophyta; Magnoliopsida; Malpighiales; Euphorbiaceae.
CUUUGCCUUUUUUUGAUUUUUUUUUGUGUCCCCUGCAACUCUGUCUAUCCAAAUUAAAGAGAGAGAGAGAGAGAGAGAGAGAGAGAGUCUAAGCGCUGGAUCUUUAUUUAUAAGCUUUAUACUACGUAUAAUACAAUUCAGGUAGUGUAAUGGCGAAUCGAGUGAAAGAAGAUGAGAAGAAUGAAAGAAUAAUUCGGGGACUUCUGAAACUUCCCGAGAAUCGCAGGUGCAUUAACUGUAAUAGUCUGGGACCACAGUAUGUUUGCACAAAUUUCUGGACUUUUGUUUGCACCACCUGUAGUGGAAUCCAUCGGGAGUUUACACACCGAGUAAAAUCAGUAUCAAUGGCUAAAUUUACUUCACAAGAAGUUGUUGCUCUUCAAGAAGGUGGAAACAAGCGUGCAAGAGAAAUUUAUCUUAAAGAAUGGGAUCCACAGCGUCAUUCUGCCCCCGAUGGCAGUAAUG